Helianthus annuus (common sunflower) is the source of this 390-nucleotide long non-coding RNA. RefSeq lists it as uncharacterized. Lineage: Eukaryota; Viridiplantae; Streptophyta; Magnoliopsida; Asterales; Asteraceae. The transcript is spliced from 3 exons. The record is from RefSeq and is a predicted model, not a curated record.
GAAAAAGAGGUUCUGACAUGUAUUUCUGUUCGUUGUAUUAACAAAGAAAUAACUGCUUCUCCCAAGUUUAAGAUACAUAUUAGGGUGCAAGACCCUUCUGCUUCUGUUACGCUAACUCUCUUUGAUCGUGAAGCAUGGAAGUUGGUUGGAAAGUCUGUUGUCGAUAUUCUUGAUGCCAAUCCUGAGUUUCGUUCUGAUCCGUUGAAGACUCCUGCUGAACUAGAUGUCUUGGUCAACCAGAAAAUUGCUUUUAAAAUAGAAGUGACCAAGUAUGUUUUGAAGUAUAACAUCCAAAAGUAUGGUAUCACCAAACUUAUAGUGGAUCCUAAUGUUAUAUCUGUACUUGAACAGAAACAGUGUUUCCCACAGAUAACUGUAUGUUCUGCUUUU